Molecule: small nuclear RNA, 183 nt
Filed under: Peromyscus maniculatus bairdii (prairie deer mouse)
Lineage: Eukaryota; Metazoa; Chordata; Mammalia; Rodentia; Cricetidae
Description: U1 spliceosomal RNA (ENSPEMG00000003718.2)
Rfam family: U1 spliceosomal RNA
About the family: U1 is a small nuclear RNA (snRNA) component of the spliceosome (involved in pre-mRNA splicing).
Source: RNAcentral
UUACCUGGCAGGGGAGUUAAUGUGGUCACAGAACUAAGAGGUUUUUUUUUUGUUGUUGUUGUUGUUUUGUUUUUCCCCAGAAUGGGACUGAACUCUUGCACUCUGGAUGUGCUGACCUCUGAGAUUUCUCCAAAGAUGAGGAACUCCACUGCAUAGUUUUGGGCAGGUGUAUUCACAUUCAUC